UACGUAGGGUGCAAGCGUUGUCCGGAAUUAUUGGGCGUAAAGAGCUCGUAGGCGGUCUGUCGCGUCGGAUGUGAAAAUCCAGGGCUCAACCCUGGACCUGCAUUCGAUACGGGCAGACUAGAGUUCGGCAGGGGAGACUGGAAUUCCUGGUGUAGCGGUGAAAUGCGCAGAUAUCAGGAGGAACACCGGUGGCGAAGGCGGGUCUCUGGACAGUUCCUGACACUGAGACACGAAGGCCAGGGGAGCAAACGGG
This 253-nucleotide ribosomal RNA is filed under the name uncultured bacterium. Its description in RNAcentral is "partial 16S ribosomal RNA". It matches the Rfam family "Bacterial small subunit ribosomal RNA", at positions 524 to 776 of the family's 1533-position model. The record is from RNAcentral.